CCUACGGGUGGCAGCAGUGGGGAAUAUUGCACAAUGGGGGAAACCCUGAUGCAGCGACGCCGCGUGAGCGAUGAAGUAUUUCGGUAUGUAAAGCUCUAUCAGCAGGGAAGAAAAUGACGGUACCUGACUAAGAAGCCCCGGCUAACUACGUGCCAGCAGCCGCGGUAAUACGUAGGGGGCAAGCGUUAUCCGGAUUUACUGGGUGUAAAGGGAGCGUAGACGGGGGUGCAAGCCAGAUGUGAAAGCCUGGGGCUCAACCCCGGGACUGCAUUUGGAACUGUGAGUCUAGAGUGUGGGAGAGGCAGGCGGAAUUCCUGGUGUAGCGGUGAAAUGCGUAGAUAUUAGGAGGAACACACAUGGCGAAGGCGGCCUGCUGGACGAUGACUGACGUUGAGGCUCGAAAGCGUGGGGAGCAAACAGGAUUAGAUACCCGUGUAGUC
This 440-nucleotide ribosomal RNA is filed under the name uncultured bacterium. RNAcentral describes it as "partial 16S ribosomal RNA". It matches the Rfam family "Bacterial small subunit ribosomal RNA", at positions 338 to 795 of the family's 1533-position model. The record is from RNAcentral.